Long non-coding RNA from Panthera uncia (snow leopard), 431 nucleotides. RefSeq lists it as uncharacterized. NCBI's taxonomy places the organism in Eukaryota, Metazoa, Chordata, Mammalia, Carnivora, Felidae. The transcript is spliced from 3 exons. The record is from RefSeq and is a predicted model, not a curated record.
CUGCGGUUCCGGCAGCGCGCGAGGGUCAAGGUUGCCAGCGUGUGGUGAGAGCGCGGGAGAACACCGGUAGGAAUACAUCCGACAGGGGUUGAUGAGGUCAGCCUCAGUUGUUACUGGCCGUCUUGCCACCCUGUGGGGAGAGUUUGACAGAGCAAUGGAAGAGCCAAGAAGUGAACAAGAGAUUGAAAUCCGAUGCCAUCACUUGAGCCCUGGUGGUAGACAUGCCUGAAGCCAUUUUUUAUUUUCCUUUUUCAGAAACAACUGGACAAAUAUGUCAAUCCCAUGGGAAGAACAGCUAAAGAAAAUCUGGCUAAAUUCAUGCUUAGCCUACAAGAUAUCAGGAAAACAGCAACAGUCUUUCACUGAUAUUACUGAAACUGAGUCCCCGACCUUAUCACUUGUAUAUUGUCUAAAUGUGUAGUAAAAAAUGA